This is a long non-coding RNA of Vidua chalybeata, 4538 nucleotides long. RefSeq lists it as uncharacterized. The transcript has 14 exons. The record is from RefSeq and is a predicted model, not a curated record. Lineage: Eukaryota; Metazoa; Chordata; Aves; Passeriformes; Viduidae.
GGGAGAGGCUCCAGCCUCGCUGCUCCGCCCGCCCUGGCUGCCGCGGAGAGGAGAUCGACGCCAGAGAGCCCGGCCAGGUAACAAGAUUUACAUAAUGAACUGAAGACAUGAACUGAAGGAAAUGAUAGAGAUGGAGAAGGACCAGCUAUAAAUACCAGAAGGUACACCCCAAAACAGUGAGGAAAAGGCAGAUGUGGUUUUAGAGCACGCCCAGCAAGCAUUAGCUGAGGAAAUUGUGGUUGAGCACAGGACAAGGACAAGCGAGGCAGAAGGUGAAGGAAGGAAGGGCUGAUGUGAAGAGAGAUCCAAGCAUCGCUUCCUGAUCAGACUAAGACUUGGGCCUUGAGAGACUUGGACCUUCUGCAAGGCCAGGAGGAGCACGGGGCAGCUCUGUGCUGCAGGAAACCUCUUUGCAAGGAGAGGUUGAGCUGAAGAACAAAUUCAUUGGCAAACCAGAGGACUGUGACCCUCCUCCUGGAACAUCUCAGUACUUGAAGGAAAAGUCACCUCAGGAAAUCUUAACAGGCUCUGUGACUGGCACGAAAGAGAAGAAACCUUUGGAAGCUUCACCUGUGGUCUGAAAGCCAGAGCUCUGCCUUUCCUGCUUUCUGCCUCAUCGGUCCUGAAGAUUUUGCAGGGAGAGCUGAGUUGAUGCCAGUGGUGCUGCCUGAGUUGAAGAGCACCUCUGAGGCUGCUCUUGGGUCAGUUCACUCUGCCCAGCCCCAAGUUCACUGCUGUGUGCAAAGGUUCAGAUGUUCUUUCCUCCCUGCUCCACGGAGAUCCUCUUCACAGCAGGAAGCCUGACCAGGAAAAGGAAACCCUUCCAGCUGGUCAGGCCCCAGACACUUCCAAAACUCUGAGAAUCUGUCUCUCUGUGGAGCUGCUGCAUUCAUCUCCCCUGUUGUAAAGGCAGCAGCUAUAUCCAUCUUUCCUUAAGAUCCAUGCAUCAGAUGGAGAUCCAAACAGACCUUGGAAAGAAGGAGGAUAAACCACAGAGCUGGCCAUGGCAACCCAUCCCCAGGCUCUCAAACAGCCCAGGCUAUCAUCAGCUGAUUUAACACAGAUUCAGUUCAGAUCACUACUCACCUUUCAAUUCAAUCAACACAGUCAUCCUGUGGGACUUAGCUCUUGCAGUGAAACCACAGAUCCAGAAGAGUGUGGGAGUCCAGCUCAGGGAACAACAUCUAUUGAGACCAUUGAACAAAGGCCAGGCACAGCACCGGGAUAAUCAAGUCAGCAUCCACUGCAGCUCUGUCUGGUGAAAUCAAAGAAAUUCUGAAAGUUACGAUGAAGGGAAGAAGAAGGGAGAAAAAAACCCAAAACCACGUGAGAGGUUCUGAGAGGUGCUGCUGCUCUGUGCUGGUUCCCAGUGACCCAUUCCUCCUGGCUGCUAAUAUCCAUGGAUACAAGACAUGGCUUGUGGCCACGUUUAUGUGCUGCCUCCACCUUCUGUGUUCUUGGGUUGGAGGAUUACAAGUUGAUAGCAGCCUGUGUCAGGAACACUGCAAUUCCCUUUGGCUUCAUGUAACUCUUGUCCAUUUUGAGAGAAAACAUUUGUCAGGCACUUACACCAGCAGGCUGCCUUAACUGCAUUUUUUUAUCAUCUACACAGUUCAUAGGUUGUAAUGGUUUCCAGACAGGUACCUGGAAUUUUUCACCAUUCCAGUCGAUGCAACAAGGCAUUUUGUCUUGGAGAAAAGAGGCAAUUAUUUAUACUGGGAAAGCUCCCAAAUGAGCAUGUCCUCUUGCCCCCAGGGCCAAGGUGGUCACCACAGUCAGUGAUCCAUGGGCUCAGACACACUCUGGUGCCAGGACCUGACCUAAACUUAAUUACAGUCAAGGGUGGAACUCCAGCAGUUGAUAAAAUACGCUAAUCUACUAACUUCAGUUAAAGUGAGUAUUGGAAAGAAGAUUUCAGACCAAAAAAAAGAGCAAAUCUCAGCUAAGAAGAAAUUUUGGAACUUUGUGGUUCAGAAGUGCCUGUGGUUCAGUACUUUAUUAUUGCUGACAACAUUGGCACAGCUUAUGCGUUUUAAAAGCAUAUUCCCUUCACAGUGAUUCUGAAACCCUGUUAGAAAAAUCAACCCUUUUAGCAGCAUUUACAUCUGUACUCAGCCUUCAGUGUCACUGAAAUCUCUGUGGGACUUAAACAAAUCCUUAAAUGCUGUCCUUAGAGACAUUUUCCUGAGGAACGAAUUUUCUGGAACACGGCCUCUAAAUGCAUGGAAAACCAGCAAAGCGUCUUUGUCUUCCCAUUUCCUGAACUUCAGAUCAAUUACAAAAACUCUGAUUUUCAAAAGUUCUUCCAAAGGAGCUCUUUUCUUGUCACCGUGUGUCACUCUGUCAGUUACAUUUCAAGGCAUGGAUUUGAAAUCCGACCAGCAGAAACAGCUACCUUUGUCAUAAAUUUAACUUGGCAGCUUCUCUGUGGGACUUUCAAUUAGGUUGUUUUUCUUUUUAAGGGAAAAAAAAAAAAAAAAAACCAAAACACUGAAAGUGUCAGUCCAAACCCAGUGAGCAAAUGCUGGUAUAUGGGAGGCGUACCCAUACUGCCUUCUACUUCAGACUCCAGGAUGAUCAGGAACAUAAAUUGCCAAGUUUUGGAGAAAAACAACUUAUAAAAACUUGUUCCAGGGACACAGAAAGAGCAGUUCCUGCUGUGUGAGGGGAUGGGUGGCUCUGAGGCCUCUGAGGAUUGGCAGCGCUGAGGGCUCAGCCCAGGAGGCAGAGAGGUGGCUCUGUGACACUGCUCAGAAUCUCGUGUUUUCCACUUAAAACUUGGGAGUCUCUAUGGAGGAAGUUUACAAACCCCACCAUGUUUUAAUGCUGGUUGCUGAAAGCUUGGAUUCUGAGGCAGUGGGAGCUGGUGUGCCUGGAAAGAGCCGAGCCCUGGGGCCGGGCCGGAGCCGCCACAGCCUCGAGGGCAAGAGCCCCUCCCGGUGUCCGUAUGAAAAUGGGAUCGAGGUGUGGGAGCUGCCGUCCCUGGCAGCUCUGCUCCGGGCUGCCUCCCUGGAAACCUUAUCUCUGUGGAUGCGGGGAAUGCCAGGAUCCUGUGAAAACCCCGGCUGCCGUUCCAACGGCAAUGAGCCCGUGCCUCAGGACUGCCGCCAUUUCCCCGCAGCCUCCUCAGCUGCGGUGAAUGUUACCGUCCCGCUCCAGAGCGGGAAUUUCCUCGUGACGUGUGGAGAAAAAAAAUGUUUAACUGAGUUUAUAGCUCGAAAAGUGGUAAAACUACCCUUGAAGAAGUCAUUAAGUGUGAGUGGACUCAAUGAUUUCUGCCUGAAUUAUCAGCAAGCAUUAAAGACACACGAUGUGUGUGUGAGGGGAAGGCAGGAGCCCCGGCCGAGGACUGUUCCUGAAAUCCCACUGGCGUUGUAGUUUUUGUCAUUUUAUUUGUAUUUGUCACUGAAACGUGACUGGAAAACUGAUAAAAAUGCUUUGGAUAGACACAAAGGGGUGAAGGUGCGAAGGACCGAUGACAUCCCACACCAGCCUUUCUCAUCCGCUGCCUCUACCUUCUGCUGAAGCCGCGACUGCGACAGCACGAUCGGCGGAUGCUUCCAACCUUCUUCUGCCACGUGUGGUGUUUUGCUAGUCUGAAGCAGUUCUCAACAACAGAAUCAAAGAUGUGAGAGGUCCAUUCCCUGUCACCAUCUGUGGGGAUGCCCACAGUGAAUUCCACGACCCUAUGAAGUGAGACUAAUAAAUUGGGCAUUUUUCUGGUCUCAGAAUCGGAGUCUUAAGUCCUGUGGGGUUUUUUUGGUGGUGGUGAAGGUGAGGAGGGCUCAGGGACAAAGUCCUCCCUGCCCUUGGCAUUCGGACCCAGUCCCAUCUGGCCAGGCCUAGGGCUGUGAAACAGGGACUGCAGUGCUGUGGUUUGGGAGUGCAGAAGGAGGCUCCCCCCUGCCUCGAGCACAGAGCCCAAGUGCUGCAUUUUGGGGCCCAGGGACCGGGCCCAAACCCCGUGUGCGAGUGCUCGGAGCACGGAGCCUUGGCCCGGCGCUGUCCGGGCCCGGCCCCGGGCUCACGGGGGCGGGUUAGGGCUGAGAGCAGCGCUCAGGCGCUCCCUCGUGGGUCUCCGCACCCGAGCCGGUGCUCCGGCCGAGGCUCUUCCUGGAGCCGGGACACUCGUGGGGCCUCUCCCCGGUGCCGACGGGGCGGUGGGUGACGAGCCGGGAGCGCGGCGUUGCGGGGCUCGUGCGGCCGGCGUUCGGGGGCUCGGACCCGGCCCCCGCCGCGGUCCCAGGUGCUGGAGGCGCCAGGGCCGUUCCCGGGGCGGGCAGGGAGGUGCUGGGGGCAGGAGGCGGUGCGGGAGCCGCGGUGUCCGUUCCCUAGCCGGGCGGGUCCCGGCCGGUGCUCGGGGACCUCGGUGCGGGCACCAAGGGCCCGGGCACACGGUGCGGGGGCGGCUCCGGCCGGGGCUUUCCAGCCCGUUCGGCGACCCCGGGCCCGGCAGAGCAGGAUGCGAACGCGGGGAGGGUGACACCGGGACAUGGAGGGUGACAGCGGGACGGGGCUCUGCGGUCUCAGGAGAGGCC